AUCUGGUGAACUGGGUUUGUGUCUCUGCUCCUCCACAUGCAGCUGCUGGGUGACCUUGGGCUAGUCACACUUCUCUGAAGUCUCUCAGCCCCACUCACCUCACAGAGUGUUUGUUGUGGGGGAGGAAGGGAAAGGAGAAUGUUAGCUGCUUUGAGACUCCUUCAGGUAGUGAUAAAGUGGGAUAUCAAAUCCAAACUCUUCUUCUUCUAGGGAAACCUGCUAUCUGAGAUUGGGAAGAUGUUGUCAUCCCCUCUUAAGCCAUAUAAAGGUUGGCAAGGCCUCACCUACCAGUGGCUCCACCUCCAUAGGAGGAGCCACUUGCAAUGUCUAUGCUUAUCUCCAUCCAGCAAGCAAGAGGCAUUAUCCCAAUUCAAGGGCACAUUUCAGGCAGGCAAAAGCAAUUGGGAGUGUGGAUCAGCACAGAUGAGAGAAUGAACCACCUUUACUGGCUGGAGUGAGCCAUCCCAACUGGGUGAAGUGAACCAUCUCUCCUGGCUAGAGUGAAUCACCUCCCCUAGCUAGAGUGAACCAUCUCCACCUGCUGGAGUGAACCAUCUCUCCUGGCUAGAGUGAACCACCUCCACCUGCUGGAAUGAACCACUUCUCCUGGCUAGAGUGAACCACCUCCACCUGCUGGAGUGAACCUUCUCUCCUUGUUGAAGUGAACCAUCUCUACCUGCUUGUCUGUGAACAGACAUUGUGUCCAUCCUGCAAACCAUUGAAAUCCUCCCCAAAUUUGCCACCUGUGAAUGGCAUGAUGAAUUCAGAAAAGUCCUUUUGGCUCAGGCUUUCUGAGAUUGAAGAGAGUCCCACAGGACACACACACCGUCUUGCAGAAGGCCAAAAUGGCUCAUCGGAUGUCACAGGCUGCCCAGAUUUUAUGCUGCAUCCUUGCACACUGAGAGGGAUAAAAAGCAGCAUAUGGGCCUUUGCUUCCAACGCGACUUUGCAGAGCUUAAUUGGAUCAUCCAUUUUUGCUAUAUUAACAUAUUGGGAUGGCAGCUAAUCCCCUCAGGAGGCCCUGUAACAUUGCAGAUUAAAGCACUUUUCAUGA
This is a long non-coding RNA of Podarcis raffonei (Aeolian wall lizard), 1054 nucleotides long. RefSeq lists it as uncharacterized. The transcript has 2 exons. Lineage: Eukaryota; Metazoa; Chordata; Lepidosauria; Squamata; Lacertidae. The record is from RefSeq and is a predicted model, not a curated record.